Molecule: long non-coding RNA, 2036 nt
Organism: Oryzias latipes (Japanese medaka)
Lineage: Eukaryota; Metazoa; Chordata; Actinopteri; Beloniformes; Adrianichthyidae
Source: RefSeq, a predicted model, not a curated record
GGCUGCAGAAGGUCAGGAAGCUCUGGGCAGAAGAGAGCCGGAGCUGUCCGCGGUGCUGAAACUCCGCUGCCGCCGCUGGAUCAUCGCUUCUCAUCUCUUCCUGUGACAACUGAGUGAGGAGUGUUGAAGAGUGAGUCCUCAUCAUUUUUCCUCAUGAAUUAAGAAGACAAUAAAGGAAGGGCAGCCUUUCAGGAAAUUACAACACUUUCAAGCCUGCAAGCAUUGUAAUUUAUCUGUGCAACAGAGAUUGGAACUUCUGUUUGUAAUUACCCAGAGUUUCUGUUAAUCAAGCCAAAAAAGUUUAGGGUUGUUGUUUGCUUUGUUCUUUUGUGAAUGGCUGAUAAUGCAGAGGAGAAUAAAUAUAAAGGUUUACCCGAACAGCAGCAAGUUAGAGCUAAUUAAAGCUCGCUGAGCAUGCCUUGGCUUGCUGCACUGUUUUUAAGGGGGCAAAUUAAUCUGCACUGUUGAUUUGUGCUGUGAUUUCUGCCUGCCCUGUGGCUAUAGUGGGAAACACUGCACCUGGGAGUAAUCAGCAGCUGAUAUUUCACCUCAGAAGUCACACUUACUUACAAAGAGGACCAUGCAGGGUUGCACCCCUUCCAGUUGCAUCUAGCCACUUCACAAAAGCCACAGGAGGACACUUCAGAUUUCAAGGCAUCCCUCUCCUUCCAGCAUGACUGAGACGACUCACUGGGCUGUAGACUAUGAAGUCUCCUCCCCUGCUCCACCUGGAUUCUCCAGGAGCCCCACAGCACUGCAGCCCAUGCCGGGACACCCCGAUCAGGGAUCGGCCCUGUGCUUUGUGGGACUCCUUGUGUUGCUGCUGCUGUUUCUGGUGGUUCGUUGCGUUCGGAUCUUGCUGGAUCCUUACAGCAGCAUGCCGUCAUCAACAUGGCUGGGUCAUAAAGAGGGGCUUGAUAGAGGGCAGUUUGAUUAUGCAAUAGUGUAAAAUGUUACAUGACUGUGAAUUUACCUUGACUUGAUGAACAGUUACAAGCCUAACUGCAUGAUGGGAAACAUUAGAAGCCAUGCAUUUAUAUUAAUUUAAAAUGAUCAGUGUGCUGUUGCAGUGUUCAGUAGGACGAUUGCUGAUGCUUUAUAACUAUUUAUUCUACCUUUGACGCAAGAGUGCUUUAUAAAUCCCUGAUCUAAAUAAAAAAUAUAGGAUGAGUUGCUGUUCAUUAAAAAAAAGUCAAAUACAUGGAGGGUGCUCACAGGCGAGCAAACUUGCUCUUUUAGCAAUAUCUAUAUACUUUUGUUUUUGUAAAAAAAAAAAGUGACUCUUGUGUCUGAUCUCAUGUUUAGAGAUGUCAUGGUCCUGAGCUGAAGACUUGAUAACAAUAGAAAGUAGAUAUUUCUCAGGUGAAAUGACUUCAAAUAACCAGAGGCACUACAGCUGGACAGAACCUGACCUUUGAUUUACUCCAAAAAAACUUUUGCUUUUAUUUAUCAUCACUGAGUCAAAUUUAUUUUUGUCGGACUCUAAAACCUCUAAUGCAUUUCAGUCAGUGAGGCAUAUUUGUGAUUUAGUUCUUUUAUGCAGUUCCUCCUUUAAGAGGCUUAGGGGGGCUCAGUGGUCAUGGUCACUGCACUGAGUGAACGGCAGUCAGUUAUAAUCAUAACAUGAACUUAUGAUUAUGGGAAGCACAUACUCCAGUGCCCUCUUCAUAAUCCUUUUGGUCGUCAGGCUCAAUCUAAUGCAUCAGCCAAAAUCUGUUUAGCAGUGCCUGCAGGGAUAUGAGUAGCUCUGGUGUCUGUUUUAUAGAAUGAUUUUUCUGCUUUGGAUGUCUCUGUUUUCUACUGCUGCUGCCGUCCAUCAUGCUCCAAAGCCAUUUAUGGAUCUGAAAAGAUCUGCUGAAAUGUUCUUUGGUAGUCAUGUUUUUCUCCUGUCAUUGUAUCCUCAGUGGUUAUAACCAAGACACUAAUUUAUAAGAUAUUAAACUUUUAUUUUUUGUCUUUAACUUGAUUUUAUAAUGAUAUCUUAGAAGUGGAUUGCUUAAAGUAAAAUAAAAAGGUUGUCCGAUCCUUCUUUUAAA